CAAUAAGCGGAGGAAAAGAAACUAACAAGGAUUCCCCUAGUAACUGCGAGUGAAGCGGGAAAAGCUCAAAUUUAAAAUCUGAGGGUCCUUGCGGCCUUCCGAGUUGUAAUCUAGAGAAGUGCUAUCCGCGCUGGACCGUGUACAAGUCUCCUGGAACGGAGCGUCAUAGAGGGUGAGAAUCCCGUCUUUGACACGGACUACCAGGGCUUUGUGAUGCGCUCUCAAAGAGUCGAGUUGUUUGGGAAUGCAGCUCUAAAUGGGUGGUAAAUUCCAUCUAAAGCUAAAUAUUGGCGAGAGACCGAUAGCGAACAAGUACCGUGAGGGAAAGAUGAAAAGAACUUUGGAAAGAGAGUUAAACAGUACGUGAAAUUGUUGAAAGGGAAACGCUUGAAGUCAGUCGCGUUGGCCAGGAAUCAACCUUGCUUUUGCUUGGCGUACUUUCUGGUUAACGGGUCAGCAUCAAUUUUGACCGGUGGAUAAAGGUUAGGGGAAUGUGGCAUCUUAGGAUGUGUUAUAGCCUCUGGUCGUAUACAUCGGUUGGGAUUGAGGAACUCAGCACGCCGCAAGGCCGGGUUUUAACCACGUACGUGCUUAGGAUGCUGGCAUAAUGGCUUUAAUCGACCCGUCUUGAAACACGGACCAAGGAGUCUAACAUGCACGCGAGUGUUUGGGUGGAAAACCCGAGCGCGUAAUGAAAGUGAAAAUUGAGAUCCCUGUCGCGGGGAGCAUCGAUGCCUGGACUUGAUCUUUUGUGACGGUUCCACGGUUGAGCGUGUAUGCUGGGACCCGAAAGAUGGUGAACUAUGCCUGAAUAGGGUGAAGCCAGAGGAAACUCUGGUGGAGGCUCGUAGCGAUUCUGACGUGCAAAUCGAUCGUCAAAUUUGGGUAUAGGGGCGAAAGACU
This 903-nucleotide ribosomal RNA is filed under the name Tricholoma ligusticum. RNAcentral describes it as "partial large subunit ribosomal RNA". It matches the Rfam family "Eukaryotic large subunit ribosomal RNA", at positions 44 to 932 of the family's 3401-position model. Lineage: Eukaryota; Fungi; Basidiomycota; Agaricomycetes; Agaricales; Tricholomataceae. The record is from RNAcentral.